Molecule: ribosomal RNA, 555 nt
Filed under: uncultured bacterium
Lineage: Bacteria
Description: bacterial SSU rRNA
Rfam family: Bacterial small subunit ribosomal RNA
Source: RNAcentral
GCCCUUCAGCAGCCGCGGUAAUACGUAGGGUGCGAGCGUUGUCCGGAUUUAUUGGGCGUAAAGGGCUCGUAGGUGGUGAUGCGUCGGAAGUGUAAUCUUGGGGCUUAACCCUGAGCGUGCUUUCGAUACGGGUUGACUUGAGGAAGGUAGGGAGAAUGGAUUCCUGGUGGAGCGGUGGAAUGCGCAGAUAUCAGGAGGAACACCAGUGGCGAAGGCGGUUCUCUGGGCUUCCUGACGCUGAGGAGCGAAAGCGUGGGGAGCGAACAGGCUUAGAUACCCUGGUAGUCCACGCUGUAAACGGUGGGUACUAGGUGUGGGGUCCAUUCCACGGGUUCCGUGCCGUAGCUAACGCUUUAAGUACCCCGCCUGGGGAGUACGGCCGCAAGGCUAAAACUCAAAGGAAUUGACGGGGCCCCGCACAAGCGGCGGAGCAUGCGGAUUAAUUCGAUGCAACGCGUAGAACCUUACCUGGGUUUGACAUGGAUCGGGAGUGCUCAGAGAUGGGUGUGCCUCUUUUGGGGUCGGUUCACAGGUGGUGCAUGGCUGUCGUCAGCU